CAUUUUUGCACAACCCACGUGUUUUAUAUUCGGUUGUUCGUUAAUUUCGUCAUGGAUCAUAUUAAAAAAGAUGAGAGAUUUUCCCAUAUAUCAAAGGAUCCAAAAUUCCGUAAAUUGGCCAGAAAGGAUAGAAAAGUUAAAAUAGACAAAAGAUUCCAUGGGAUGUUUAAAGACAAAAAAUUUAAAGUUACAUACACAGUAGAUAAACGAGGACGCCCGGUUAAAACAUCCAGUACUGAUCACUUAAAAAAGUUAUAUGAUUUGGAUAGUGAUGAAAAUGAAGAUGAUAGUGAAACUGAUGAAAGCCAAGACGAGGAUGAAAGUGAUGAAGAUGUAAGUGAAAAAAUUCAAGAUUCAAAGCAAAGAAAGAAAUUGAAGGAUACCAAUAAGAAAAGUGAGAGUAAGAGCAGUGAAGGAGAGGAGGAAGAAGAGAGUGGAAGUGACGAAGAAGAGGAGAGUGAAGAUGACGAAGGAAAGCUCGACCUUACCGGACCUGACUUAGCUAGGGGAGAGGGUGCCAUUGAUUCUAGUAGCUCAGAAGAAGAAUACGAAUUGGAAGAUGAACGUUUUGAUCAUGAAUGGGGAGAAGUAGAUAAAAAUGUUAAACGAUCAGAAGAAAUAACUUGCAGACUUGCAUGUUGUAAUCAAGAUUGGGAUAGGAUAAGGGCUGAGGAUUUACUUAUGAUUUUCAAUUCAUUUAAACCUUCUACAGGAGUAGUAAAAUCUAUUACCAUUUAUCCCUCCGAAUUUGGUUUACAACGUAUGAAACAAGAAGACCUUGAAGGUCCAAAAGAGCUAUUCGAGAAAGAGGAAAGCUUGGCUACUUCGAAUGAUCAAGUUGAAGGAGAAGACUAUCACAGAGAGAAAUUACGACAAUAUCAAUUAAAAAGACUUAAGUAUUAUUAUGCAAUAGUAGACUGCGAUAGUCCUGAAACGGCUAAUGCCAUUUAUGAGCAAUGUGAUGGUGUCGAAUUUGAGACAAGUUCGACUAAAAUGGAUUUAAGGUUUGUUCCGGAUGAUAUGACAUUUAGUGAAAACUUUAAAGCACGUGUUUCUGACGUUGAUUUACUAAAUUACAAGCCGAUUUUGUUCAAAACUACCGCUCUAAUGAGAUCUAAUGUUGAGUUAACUUGGGAUGAGACAGAUCGCUCUAGAUCAGCCAUUCUCAAUAAAAAAUUUAAGAAGGACGAAAUAGACAAUCUUAAUAUCAAAGAUUAUCUUGCAUCGUCUUCAGAGGAUUCUGCUUGCGAUGAAGAAAAUGGAAAUGAAAGUAAUGACGACGAUGAUAAUGAAAAUAUUAUUGAAAAAAAGAGAAACAAAUAUAAGGCACUUUUAGAGGAAAUUGAUACGAAAGAUGAGGAAAAUGAAAAAGAAGAUAAAAACGAUGUUAAUAUGGAAAUAAAAUGGAAUACUGGUCUUAAAGCUAAAUCCGAAGAAAUUGUCAAAAAAGCUAAAGAUGAUAAAGAAUUAUCUGUAUUUGAAAAAUACUUAGAAAAGAGAAAAGAAAAGAAAAAGCUAAAGAGACGAAAGACAGCAAUCAAAGAGAGUGAUGAGGGUGAAGAUGAAGAUAUGGAGGAAAACGGAUUUCAAGCAUUUAGUGACGAUGACGUAGGAGCAGAGUCUCCUCCACCCAAAAAGAAGAAGAAAGGCAAGAAGUCUAAAAUUGAAAAACGAGUACUAACAGCUGAAGAGGAGGAAGAGGAGAAAAAGGCUCAAGCAGAACUCUCUCUAUUAAUGGAAGAUGACGAUAAUAGAAAACACUUUAACUUAUCCUCAAUAAUAGAAGCCGAAAAGUUCUCUAAACUGAGCAACAGAAGAAAGAAAAAACUUUUGAAAAAGAAUAAAGAUCGAUUGAAACUUGAAAAAGAAUCACAGGACGACUUCCAAUUGAACCUUAAUGACGAUAGAUUCUCAAAAUUAUAUUCUAAUCCCUCAUAUAAUAUAGAUCCAUCAGCACCACAGUUCAAGAAGACCAAAGCUAUGGACAAUCUCGUCAAAGAAAAAAUCAAAAGAAGUAGUGAGAUCGUAAAUACUGAAAUUAAAAAAGUAAAGAAGGAAAAUAACGAUAUUAAGGCUUUGGUUGCAGCCGUUAAAAUGAAAGCAAACAAAAAGAAAAAGGCUAAAAGCUAAUUAUUAAUAGUAUAGUUUAUUUGAUUACUUCUUGUUUCUUAAGCUUGAGACAAAAUGUUCAGGUGUAUUUUACACUGUGUUAUAAGACUGUAUUUUUGUAAAAAUAAUACACUAAACUGAAUAUACAGUAAUUCUAAAGGAGGGUAUAAGAAAUAAAGAUGUCUAAAAACAUUAAGUACAUAUUUCUUUUAAAUUAUAUUAAUCAUUCCUGCUUUAUUCAUGCUUGCAGUACUUCCAGCAGCAAUUGGCUCCACUUGAUCAAUAGGUACUUUUUCUGGCUCAGGCCUCACUGACAAAUAAGGCAUGGAGAUAUUGGUCUUCAUCGGAGGCGCUCUUAUUAGAUCUCUAACGAUUACUGUAUGAACAAAAUGCGAUAUCCCAGCAAAUAUUGAAAAGAAUGUGCUAAGAAUAAACAAGCCAUAGGAGAAAGAAGGAUAGUUCAAAUAAGGGAAUGGUAGCCAGAGUCGGUCCAAUUUGAACAUAAUUCCAAAAACUAAAAUUGUUAUAGCCUUCAAAAUAGAACUUAUAAUGGUCAACGUAGUUAUGGAUUGGAUAAGACAAAUAGGUUGGGAUCUAUCUUGUAGCCCAGCCUCAUUAUUCAUACUGUCAUUUGCUCUUUCCUUAACCUUUAACCAGGCAAGAAAGCCCAAUAUUACAUUACAUAAUUCCAUUACGAAAGAAACAGUUACUGCAACUUGAACAAAAAUAAACCAAGGUGGCAUAAUCCAACCGCGAAUCUUAUAGUAUUCUGGAGCAAGAAUCCACCAGCAUCCGUGAUACGCUUUUUGAGACGUAUCGGCUGGUAGAACCAAGCCAGAGAAGCAUACCUCCCAAAGACCCAAUCGUCUGAACGGACUGUACACUCUGGGCCAGGAUAUAAUCCAAUAAGGUGUAGAGAAACCAAGACCAACAUUUAAACACGAGAGAAAGUUUAAAAUUAAGCCAGUUUCGAAUAUCCAUCUCCUCCCCUCUUUCCUAUUCAUUGUCUUAACCAUUCUUUCGUUUCUUACCCUAACGAAAGUAGUUCAAAGAAUGUAUUCACAGCUAUUGAACAAUAUUUUAGCUAUUUUCUUUCAGGUGGAGACUGAUCGUUCGAUUGUAUACAGGUAAGCAACAAUUGGCUGAUAAGAUUAACCUUUAGUAUGCACUACGUUUGCUAUCAUUUCAGGCAAAAAGAUAAGAGUCAUAUUGAAAAGUUAUUUAUUUACAUACAUAUAUACAUUUAUAUAAAUAAUUAUUACUCAAUCCAUAAAACCAAAUUUAAAUUAGAACAGGAUUUUUAGUUUUAACUUAGCUGAAAGUUGACGAAUUGACAAGUAGACUUUAUACUAUUAUUCUUUAUACUUUUAUAUUUUAACUAUAUUAUAUUUAAAAACAAUGAAAAACAUCUUAAAUAAGAUCAUAACAUUUUGUUCAAUUAUUUAGCAAUAUUUUGGACCAGUUUAGAAAAGUCUGUUUGAAAUUUUAAUAAUGUCUUGUCAAGAACACCGAUAGGAGGUACGCACUUCAAAACUUCUUAAAUUUUGUUCUAGAUGGCUCUACUAGUAUUUUAAAUUUGCAACGUGUUGGUCACGUGAUUCCGCGUAUCUCCACGUCACGGACAAUUCGACACAUCUUAUAUCCGCUAAACUUCUAUAUUCAAUUCUAUUUGCUUCUGAAAAAUCAGCAGGUGUUUGCCUAUUUUUGUUUGGAUCUUUAGAUUUGUCUUUAAAUUCCAGUUCAGCAUGGAUCAAUUGAUGCAAAUUGUCGAGCCAGCUAAACAAUUUACGAAAGAUUCAAUUCGUCUCGUCAAAAGAUGUACCAAGCCUGAUCGUAAAGAGUUUCAAAAGAUCGCUAUGGCGACUGCUAUUGGAUUCAGUAUAAUGGGAUUUAUCGGAUUCUUCGUCAAACUUAUCCAUAUUCCGAUCAACAACAUCAUUGUGUACGUAUAAUUACUUUUUGGUUUAUCCUAAAACAAAUCAGUAUAUUGGACUUUAUUAUUAUCAUGAUAUUCAAAUAGCAGUUUCUAGGUCAUACAAGUAACAAAUUAUCUAUUUAUAAAAACACCUAUGAAUCCUUCUAAACAAUUUAAAAGCUCUUUCAAAGAGAAUUUUAAAUUAGCAGGAAACCCCAAAAAAGGGAUUGUUACAUAGGAUAUACUGUAAAUUAAAUAGCUUAAAGUUUAUUUAAAAAUACUCAUAUAUUAGCUUGUAAUUUAUAAUAUAGAGACACCUAAAACACCAGUGUCUUUAUCUGCAUAUAUGUAUAGUUUGUAUACAUAAAUAACAUUUUAUAGGCUGAAUUAUUAAUAUUUUUUUGUUUUAUUUUUUCUUUAUACAGCGGCUCAUAAGGAUUUGAAAGAACUCGAAUUAAUUAGGUAGCACUAUUUGAAACAUUCAAUCAUCGUUAAUAAAUUGUUUGCAUAAUGGUUCAUCCGUAUCGGAGUUGUGUAUAUAAUUUAUGAAUUACAAAGUGCAUUCAAAGUAAAUCUAAACGAAAAAUUAUCAAUUUGAGGGCAGUUCAAUCUCUUAUCACUCCAUCUUCUGAUAAAAUAAUAGAUACAAACCACCAUUAGAGAAACAAUAACAUUGACCACUAAUAUGAAAAACAUGAACCGAACCCGGUGACCUCUUGGGAAUGACCGAAAUGUAUCGUUUUGUUCCGCAUCGCUACCUAUCGUUUUCGUCGUAUCGCUUUCACUAGACCUUUCUUUUCGACGUUGGUUAUGAUUAUUAAGCUAGAUUUGUGCAAGUAAUUAUAUAUUGCAAUGAAGGAAAGCUAGUUUAAGCACCUGUGACAAAGUUUUUCUGUUUGAUUUCUUGAUCUUACAUUUCCUCUUUAAUUCCUGUUCGUUGAACUCAUGCGUUUCCCACCAGCUCCAAUUUUGACAAGAAAUUCUAACGACAUCCUCUGUCGUUCUGUUCCUCCUUAGACUAAUCAACUUCAUUAACCAAGCAGACUCGCAUUUACAGCCAAUAACAUAUGGAAAUCGUAGAAUUCGAAUUCGUUUUAAAUAGCUAACAAGACCAUUAUUUAUGUUAACUAAGCGAAUAUUAGUUAAAAUGGAGAGCUCUUGCGUUAUUUUAAAGUUUAAAGCCCUCUUCCAGUUGACCGUUGAACCAGAAAUAGAGGACACAUUCAUGCGUAAAACCUGGUCAGUGAAUGAAUAUUUUUUGUUGCAGUCCUUUCCAGACAAUAUUUCGCUUAAUUCGUUUCUUUUAGAAGGAAAAUAAGAUUUAUAUAAUAUUUGCAUAAUGGAUUAUAUAAGAAUGAAUAAGUAAUAAAGAAAUAGAACUAAAUUAACUUUAAACCAUCCGUAAAAAUUAUAUUAAGUUGUUUUAUAUAGUUGAUUGUUAAUUUACGCGGUAAUUUACCAACAGCUACUAAAUUCAAUUCAUUAAUUUUAUCAAGAUGAAACUGGAAUUUUGCUGCAUUACUGGAAUCCGAGCAAUUACUAAUUGAUGCCUUAACUAUAGUAAUUCUAUCGUUGAAUAAAUUAUGCAAAUCAGUUUGAUCAAGACCGCCACACGUCAAAACGACUUCCGUAUAAUUUCCUUUCCUUGCACACUUUUCUCUCUUCAUCGAAGGACAAAUUAAUCUUAGUUUAUUAGAACUACAAUCGCAAAUAUUUUCUGCGUUUACUAGUUUAUAUAGAAUUGUAGUAAGAUUACAGAAUAGUACAAAUAAACUGCAAAAUUUACAAUCCAUCUGUCUUUUAUCUUUUGAAUUAUAAUUCAAA
RNAcentral lists this unclassified non-coding RNA (5848 nucleotides) under Dimorphilus gyrociliatus. RNAcentral describes it as "nUC153 domain-containing protein". Lineage: Eukaryota; Metazoa; Annelida; Polychaeta; Dinophilidae. The record is from RNAcentral.